CCCAAUAUAAUAACAAUUAAGAUGUGAGCCCAGCGUGGUACCCAGCAAACCAUUUCCCUUUUCAUUAAUUAACAUGAAAAUUCAAUCGUCAUUCAACAUGAAAAUUUAAAUCGAUUCCAUCAAAGGAGAAGGAUUGACAAAAAGAAGCAAAAAUAUUGAAACUGGAUUCAUAUUCAAAGAUUAGUAUUGUUAAUCAAAGGACUGGAUGGAUGGUAAAGGAGGGCCAAAUGGGUGGACACAUGAGGCUCAAGAGGCUCAGAUGGGAAUUUUCAGAUUGAGCGAAAGUUGAAACAAUGGGAAGACAAAGAAGUACAAAGACAGAAACAAAGAAAGGAUUGAAAGGUAAAAAAAGAUGAAAAAAAGAGGUUUUCUCUUCCUUUCAUCUUCUCUAUAAAUGGGUUUACCAAGUUUAAUGUCAAAGGUUAUUGGGUAAGUGGUUUACCAAUUUCAUGUUCAAAACGUUUUCAUCAUGGUGGUUUCAUGAGACUUGCUCGAUCUACUCAAGUAUGGAAAGCAAAGAGAAUAGAGUAAAUUAACCAGAAAAACCAGAUUUCGAACCGAGAAGGAGAAAAAAGUUAACCCGAAUUUUUCCAGGGGAAAAAGGCUGUUCGUAGAAGACAAAAAGAGACAAAAAAAAGGGAAAACAUAAAACAUCAAGACAAGUUCAACUCGGAAUCAUCAUUAUCAGAAAUCAUCAUGAUCGUCAUUAAAUGAACACUUGUAGGCAAAUCCAUCAACACAAUUACUGGAAGCCAAACCAGACUGAAAGAAGCAAAACUUUACAUUGAACAUGAUCAUCGCCGAAUGACGAAACUGAAUCACUUUGGAUAGUUUGGAUGGGAAAAGAAAGACUGGGACAGCAAAUGAAAGAGGAAACUGAAUGUUGGCGACGCACAAAUGAUGACGAAAAAAUUUACUAAUGAAACUGAUCGAAAUAAAUUAACAAAGGAAGUCGACUUUAUAUAUAUGUAUUGAUGCAGGGUGAGAGACAGAGUGGCAAACUGAUUAUCAUGAUGACAGAGAGAAGAUGAAUGUGAAAAGAUAAAUGUUGUGAAAAAAAGGCAACAAAGUUGAGGGUGGUUUUUUGUUCUUCUGGUUCUUGAUGUUUUAUUUGAAGGAGUUGAAACAAUGGUAAUCACCAUGUAAUCAUCAUUUUACACAGACAACACUUGAUCGUUUCAAUCUCAUCUUUAUCAUGGAAAUCAUCAUAAACAGUUGACAAUCAUCUGGGACAUUUUAUCAGGUUGAGGCGUUCAACAUAACAAAACAAUGUUUUAAUCAUUCCUGUUAAUUGUAAACCAAUGUUUUAUCCCAAUUUGGAAUCAAGUGGAAGGCGUUUUUUAUUUCUCUAUUUCUCUCUCUUUGCCCUGUUUAACCAUUAACUUAUUGUUAAUUAAUCUGAUAGUUAAUCUAAUUGGAAUGAGUGAAUUCUGUUGGAUGAGCUGAAAAAAUUGAGAUUUUUAUCAAGAAAUACAAGAUGGUUGAAAUUGUGUUUGUUUGCUUUUUUGGUUUCCACUUUGACCUUUUUCAUUGUUUCACAGUCAUCUCAAUUGAUUAGUUUGAUCAAUUCAGUUUAUCAUUUCUUUUUAUUACAUGGGCAAAGUUUUUUUUUCAUGGGAAAGUGGAUAUUGUUAGAUAAGAUGAGACAAUUGUUGAGUGUUUCAGUUGUGUUUUUACUGCUAUUGUUUGAAACAAUUGAUUCACCUGAUCACGAAAUUUAAUUUCAUUCAAAGUAGAGCAAUCAUCAGUUGUUUCAUUUGAUUAAUAGAUUUAACCAGAUAAUUGGCUUUAUCAAAGAGGAACAGUUUUGAUUGUUAACAUUGAUAAUUGUUUGGAUAUUUAAGUAAGAGUAAACAGUUGGCUUGUUGUUAUUUCAUGUUCAUCAAUUGUAAUGAUUAGUUUAGAUUGAAAAGUAAUGUAACCCAAUGAGAAACC
This is a long non-coding RNA of Tetranychus urticae (two-spotted spider mite), 1935 nucleotides long. RefSeq lists it as uncharacterized. NCBI's taxonomy places the organism in Eukaryota, Metazoa, Arthropoda, Arachnida, Trombidiformes, Tetranychidae. The record is from RefSeq and is a predicted model, not a curated record.